This 401-nucleotide ribosomal RNA is filed under the name uncultured bacterium. RNAcentral describes it as "bacterial SSU rRNA". It matches the Rfam family "Bacterial small subunit ribosomal RNA", at positions 355 to 773 of the family's 1533-position model. The record is from RNAcentral.
UGGGGAAUUUUGCGCAAUGGGGGAAACCCUGACGCAGCAACGCCGCGUGGAGGAUGAAAUCCCUUGGGAUGUAAACUCCUUUCGAUGGGGAAGAUUAUGACGGUACCCAUAGAAGAAGCCCCGGCUAACUUCGUGCCCGCAGCCGCGGUAAUACGAGGGGGGCAAGCGUUGUUCGGAAUUACUGGGCGUAAAGGGCGCGUAGGCGGCCUGCUAAGUCGAACGUGAAAUCCCCGAGCUCAACUCGGGAACUGCGUCCGAUACUGGCAGGCUUGAAUCCGGGAGAGGGAUGCGGAAUUCCAGGUGUAGCGGUGAAAUGCGUAGAUAUCUGGAGGAACACCGGUGGCGAAGGCGGCAUCCUGGACCGGCAUUGACGCUGAGGCGCGAAAGCCAGGGGAGCAAAC